GAUCCUGGCUCAGAUUGAACGCUGGCGGCAGGCCUAACACAUGCAAGUCGAGCGGAUGAGUGGAGCUUGCUCCAUGAUUCAGCGGCGGACGGGUGAGUAAUGCCUAGGAAUCUGCCUGGUAGUGGGGGAUAACGUUUCGAAAGGAACGCUAAUACCGCAUACGUCCUACGGGAGAAAGUGGGGGAUCUUCGGACCUCACGCUAUCAGAUGAGCCUAGGUCGGAUUAGCUAGUUGGUGGGGUAAUGGCCCACCAAGGCGACGAUCCGUAACUGGUCUGAGAGGAUGAUCAGUCACACUGGAACUGAGACACGGUCCAGACUCCUACGGGAGGCAGCAGUGGGGAAUAUUGGACAAUGGGCGAAAGCCUGAUCCAGCCAUGCCGCGUGUGUGAAGAAGGUCUUCGGAUUGUAAAGCACUUUAAGUUGGGAGGAAGGCAGUAAGUUAAUACCUUGCUGUUU
This 458-nucleotide ribosomal RNA is filed under the name Metapseudomonas otitidis. Its description in RNAcentral is "bacterial SSU rRNA". It matches the Rfam family "Bacterial small subunit ribosomal RNA", at positions 15 to 478 of the family's 1533-position model. The record is from RNAcentral. Lineage: Bacteria; Pseudomonadati; Pseudomonadota; Gammaproteobacteria; Pseudomonadales; Pseudomonadaceae.